AUUCCGUAGGGUGAACCUGCGGAGGGAUCAUUACCGAGUUUACAACUCCCAAACCCAAUGUGAACGUUACCAAACUGUUGCCUCGGCGGGAUCUCUGCCCCGGGUGCGUCGCAGCCCCGGACCAAGGCGCCCGCCGGAGGACCAACCAAAACUCUUAUUGUAUACCCCCUCGCGGGUUUAAUCUGAGCCUUCUCGGCGCCUCUCGUAGGCGUUUCGAAAAUGAAUCAAAACUUUCAACAACGGAUCUCUUGGUUCUGGCAUCGAUGAAGAACGCAGCGAAAUGCGAUAAGUAAUGUGAAUUGCAGAAUUCAGUGAAUCAUCGAAUCUUUGAACGCACAUUGCGCCCGCCAGUAUUCUGGCGGGCAUGCCUGUCCGAGCGUCAUUUCAACCCUCGAACCCCUCCGGGGGGUCGGCGUUGGGGAUCGGCCCUGCCUUGGCGGUGGCCGUCUCCGAAAUACAGUGGCGGUCUCGCCGCAGCCUCUCCUGCGCAGUAGUUUGCACACUCGCAUCGGGAGCGCGGCGCGUCCACAGCCGUUAAACACCCAACUUCUGAAAUGUGACCUCGGAUCAGUAGAUGCUCAGAUAG
This 586-nucleotide ribosomal RNA is filed under the name Trichoderma viride. RNAcentral's name for it is "eukaryotic LSU rRNA". The stretch from base 229 to 382 matches the Rfam family "5.8S ribosomal RNA". The record is from RNAcentral. Lineage: Eukaryota; Fungi; Ascomycota; Sordariomycetes; Hypocreales; Hypocreaceae.